This 301-nucleotide ribosomal RNA is filed under the name uncultured bacterium. Its description in RNAcentral is "partial 16S ribosomal RNA". It matches the Rfam family "Bacterial small subunit ribosomal RNA", at positions 509 to 807 of the family's 1533-position model. The record is from RNAcentral.
CAGCAGCCGCGGUAAUACAGAGGGUGCGAGCGUUAAUCGGAUUUACUGGGCGUAAAGCGUGCGUAGGCGGCUUUUUAAGUCGGAUGUGAAAUCCCUGAGCUUAACUUAGGAAUUGCAUUCGAUACUGGGAAGCUAGAGUAUGGGAGAGGAUGGUAGAAUUCCAGGUGUAGCGGUGAAAUGCGUAGAGAUCUGGAGGAAUACCGAUGGCGAAGGCAGCCAUCUGGCCUAAUACUGACGCUGAGGUACGAAAGCAUGGGGAGCAAACAGGAUUAAAUACCCCUGUAGUCCCUGUCUCUUAUAC